Molecule: ribosomal RNA, 463 nt
Filed under: uncultured Glomus
Lineage: Eukaryota; Fungi; Glomeromycota; Glomeromycetes; Glomerales; Glomeraceae
Description: SSU rRNA
Rfam family: Eukaryotic small subunit ribosomal RNA
Source: RNAcentral
AGCAGCCGCGGUAAUUCCAGCUCCAAUAGCGUAUAUUAAAGUUGUUGCAGUUAAAAAGCUCGUAGUUGAAUUUCGGGAUCAAGUCGUCGGUCGUGCUCAGGUACGUACUGGCGUCAUUGAUUUCUCCCUUCUGACGAACCAUGAUGUCAUUAAUUUGGUGUUAUGGGAAAUCAGGACUGUUACUUUGAAAAAAUUAGAGUGUUUAAAGCAGGCUCACGCUUGAAUACAUUAGCAUGGAAUAAUGAAAUAGGACGUUCGAUCCUAUUUUGUUGGUUUUAGGAUCAACGUAAUGAUUAAUAGGGAUAGUUGGGGGCAUUAGUAUUCAAUUGUCAGAGGUGAAAUUCUUGGAUUUAUUGAAGACUAACUACUGCGAAAGCAUUUGCCAAGGAUGUUUUCAUUAAUCAAGAACGAAAGUUAGGGGAUCGAAGACGAUCAGAUACCGUCGUAGUCUUAACCAUAAACU